CGUGGAGGACGAAGUUCUUCGGAAUGUAAACUCCUGUCAGGGGCAGCCAAGUUCUGAGGCGCCCCAGAGGAAGGCACGGCUAACUCUGUGC
This 91-nucleotide ribosomal RNA is filed under the name uncultured bacterium. Its description in RNAcentral is "partial 16S ribosomal RNA". The record is from RNAcentral.